UACGUAGGGUGCAAGCGUUAAGUCGGAAUUGACUGGGACGUAAAGCGUGCGCAGGCGGUUUUGUAAGUCAGAUGUGAAAUCCCCGGGCUUAACCUGGGAACUGCGUUUGAAACUACAAGGCUAGAGUGUGACAGAGGGGGGUGGAAUUCCACGUGUAGCAGUGAAAUGCGUAGAGAUGUGGAGGAACACCGAUGGCGAAGGCAGCCCCCUGGGUUAACACUGACGCUCAGGCACGAAAGCGUGGGGAGCAAACAGG
This 256-nucleotide ribosomal RNA is filed under the name uncultured bacterium. RNAcentral's name for it is "partial 16S ribosomal RNA". It matches the Rfam family "Bacterial small subunit ribosomal RNA", at positions 524 to 776 of the family's 1533-position model. The record is from RNAcentral.